Molecule: non-coding RNA, 72 nt
Organism: Caenorhabditis brenneri
Lineage: Eukaryota; Metazoa; Nematoda; Chromadorea; Rhabditida; Rhabditidae
Source: the annotation of a GenBank genome assembly
GCACUGGUGGCGCAGUGGCUAACACGCCCGUCUUUCAUGCGGAAGUUCGCGGGUUCGACCCCCACCGGGGCG